This 950-nucleotide long non-coding RNA is filed under the name Capra hircus (goat). RNAcentral describes it as "lncRNA (ENSCHIG00010024316.1)". The record is from RNAcentral. Lineage: Eukaryota; Metazoa; Chordata; Mammalia; Artiodactyla; Bovidae.
GUGAAGAAGCAUUUACAGGGAAGACUUUGGUAGAGCCUCAAAGCUCCAAAGGUGUAGAGUGCAAUCGGCUUCCCAUGUCAGAGCUGGGAGGAACCUAGCUAUCCAGGUGAACAGGGGCCCCAUCCUUACAGCCCACACGGAUGGGCCUGAUGGAGUCCUUCUUUUGGUAGUGGCAGUAGGGGGGCCGGGUUCCUGCCUUGGCAACGCAGUCUGUGACGCUGACGUCGUGAGAGCUGUUGUGGCAGCUCUGCAGGGAGCCGUUGCUGGUACAGGGCACAGCUGGAGUUGUGCAGAAAUCUGCUAUGGUAGCCAGAUCCUCGUGAAUGAAGGUGUUGAUCUGCUUGCAUCUACCCCUGUGGAUCAGCCACCGUCGCCUCAUCAUCACAUCACAGUAUCGGUGCUGUCCCCCAGGAACCCAUGACCUGGGGUUAUCUAUGUGCCGUCUUGAGAAGGGCAGGCCUGGAGCGAAGACAGCUAGCUCCAGCAGGAGGAGGAGAAGGGUCCACAUCAGAUUCCUGUUCCCUGUGAAAGCAGAAUCUUUAUCAGCAUCACACAGAGUACCUAUGACAUCACUACAAAUAUGAAGAAAGAAACCUGUACUUUGGCGCCGGUCUUUCACAAACUUGCUCUUGGAGGCGGGCCAAUCACCUCAUCCUACUCAUCUCUAAAGUGAAGAUUAUAGACUAGAGAUCUCUUUUAGUUCAGUCAUUUUCUGUCUUUCAAGCCCUAAUAAAGCAUUGCUUGUGUGUAUGAGUCAAUGUGUGAUUUUCUCUGUGUACCCUAUUGGCUUAUACAUGUUCAGGUAGGGAGAAAUGUUUUGUUUGAAAAUUGAGUUUCCCUUUGUGAUUUGUUAAUCCAAUUAAAUCUAAUUUUUCUGAGAAACAGUUGUUAGUGAAUUUAGGCAAAAAAAAAAAUUCAAUCACUUUUAUGUAAAGAUUAUAUUGUUUUUG